AGCCUUGUAGCUCAAUAAGCAGAGCAUCCGCCUUUGAAGCGGAGGGUUGGUGGUGCGAACCCACCCGAGGCUGCCA
This 76-nucleotide transfer RNA is filed under the name Prosthecobacter sp. RNAcentral describes it as "tRNA-Gln". It matches the Rfam family "tRNA". Rfam says of the family: Transfer RNA (tRNA) molecules are approximately 80 nucleotides in length. Their secondary structure includes four short double-helical elements and three loops (D, anti-codon, and T loops). Further hydrogen bonds mediate the characteristic L-shaped molecular structure. tRNAs have two regions of fundamental functional importance: the anti-codon, which is responsible for specific mRNA codon recognition, and the 3' end, to which the tRNAs corresponding amino acid is attached (by aminoacyl-tRNA synthetases). tRNAs cope with the degeneracy of the genetic code in two manners: having more than one tRNA (with a specific anti-codon) for a particular amino acid; and 'wobble' base-pairing, i.e. permitting non-standard base-pairing at the 3rd anti-codon position. The record is from RNAcentral. Lineage: Bacteria; Pseudomonadati; Verrucomicrobiota; Verrucomicrobiia; Verrucomicrobiales; Verrucomicrobiaceae.